GUCGAGCGCACUGGCCCAACUGAUAUGACGUGCUUGCACUGAAUUGACGUUGGAUUCCCAGUGAGCGGCGGACGGGUGAGUAACACGUGGGCAACCUGCCCUGAAGCGGGGGAUAACAUCUGGAAACAGGUGCUAAUACCGCAUAACAACGAAAACCACAUGGUUUUCGUUUCAAAGAUGGUUUCGGCUAUCACUUCAGGAUGGGCCCGCGGUGCAUUAGCUAGUUGGUAAGGUAACGGCUUACCAAGGCGAUGAUGCAUAGCCGAGUUGAGAGACUGAUCGGCCACAAUGGAACUGAGACACGGUCCAUACUCCUACGGGAGGCAGCAGUAGGGAAUCUUCCACAAUGGGCGCAAGCCUGAUGGAGCAACACCGCGUGAGUGAAGAAGGGUUUCGGCUCGUAAAGCUCUGUUGUUGGAGAAGAACGUGCGUGAGAGUAACUGUUCACGCAGUGACGGUAUCCAACCAGAAAGUCACGGCUAACUACGUGCCAGCAGCCGCGGUAAUACGUAGGUGGCAAGCGUUAUCCGGAUUUAUUGGGCGUAAAGCGAGCGCAGGCGGUUGCUUAGGUCUGAUGUGAAAGCCUUCGGCUUAACCGAAGAAGUGCAUCGGAAACCGGGCGACUUGAGUGCAGAAGAGGACAGUGGAACUCCAUGUGUAGCGGUGGAAUGCGUAGAUAUAUGGAAGAACACCAGUGGCGAAGGCGGCUGUCUGGUCUGCAACUGACGCUGAGGCUCGAAAGCAUGGGUAGCGAACAGGAUUAGAUACCCUGGUAGUCCAUGCCGUAAACGAUGAGUGCUAGGUGUUGGA
This 810-nucleotide ribosomal RNA is filed under the name Limosilactobacillus vaginalis. RNAcentral describes it as "bacterial SSU rRNA". It matches the Rfam family "Bacterial small subunit ribosomal RNA", at positions 61 to 827 of the family's 1533-position model. Lineage: Bacteria; Bacillati; Bacillota; Bacilli; Lactobacillales; Lactobacillaceae. The record is from RNAcentral.